RNAcentral lists this ribosomal RNA (184 nucleotides) under uncultured bacterium. Its description in RNAcentral is "partial 16S ribosomal RNA". It matches the Rfam family "Bacterial small subunit ribosomal RNA", at positions 338 to 524 of the family's 1533-position model. The record is from RNAcentral.
CCUACGGGUGGCAGCAGUAAGGAAUAUUGCGCAAUGGGCGAAAGCCUGACGCAGCGACGCCGCGUGGGGGAUGAAGGUCUUCGGAUUGUAAACCCCUUUCGGGAGGGAAGAUGGAGCGAGCAAUCGUUCGGACGGUACCUCCAGAAGCAGCCACGGCCAACAUCGUGCCAGCAGCCGCGGUAAU